Molecule: ribosomal RNA, 44 nt
Filed under: Sinocyclocheilus anshuiensis
Lineage: Eukaryota; Metazoa; Chordata; Actinopteri; Cypriniformes; Cyprinidae
Source: RNAcentral
GCCUGGUUAGUACUUGGAUGGGAGACCGCCUGGGAAUACCAGGC